UAAUAAAGGAACAGGACAAAAGCCUCUAAGGAUUAUAUUUUAUAGGACAUAUAUUUUGGGGUGACUAUAGGAUCUGCAACUCAAAUUUCUAUCAGAUUUCUAUGUUGUGGGUUUAGUGAUAGAGAGAAUCCAAGAUUCAAUAUCAGAAGAGGAUAAGAGGUUGAUCUAUCUUCGAGAUGGAAGUGGAGACUAUUGUCCAAGUUUGAGGUUGAAAGAGAAGGACUUUAUGAUGCCAAGGAAGAACUUUCCGCUGUGGGAUCUUAUAUGCAGAGAUCCUUCAUUUCCUAAGGCUGAGAUUCAUGGCUGGAGUGAUGGAGAAGAACUUGAACAAAUUUUGUUGCACUUGAUCAACAAAGUAUCAAUGGAGCAAAAUUCUCCCUUCAUUUCCUCUUAUUGCAAGCUUCAGACACGUCACUGCUCAUGAGGCUUUGCCCAAAGCUCUACCAGUUCGACCAUAUUUUCAUGGUUUUGUAACUUUUGCA
Vigna radiata var. radiata (mung bean) is the source of this 482-nucleotide long non-coding RNA. RefSeq lists it as uncharacterized. NCBI's taxonomy places the organism in Eukaryota, Viridiplantae, Streptophyta, Magnoliopsida, Fabales, Fabaceae. The transcript has 3 exons. The record is from RefSeq and is a predicted model, not a curated record.